CGCGACGUGACUGCGUGGUGACUAAAUAAUAAAUGUGCCAUAUCAGGUUUCACGUGGAGCCAAGGCCAUGGCCUGUAGCUGGGGGAAGGGAAAAAGGACAGGAGGGACAGCACAUAUGAGAUGCAGAGGUUUUCAGUGGAAAAGAACUUUAAAGUGGAGCACAGACGGUGAUGCUGCCAACGGGCGCGGCAUUCCGGUGGUUCCAGUAGGGCUGUGAUCGCCGACCUCCACCCAAAGCUCUGCCAUCAAGUGCAAUGCUAACUCUCGCUUGGACCGACUCCAGCACCGACACUGGCUAGCAAGCAUUCAAUCCACGAAAAAAAAAAGAGGAAACAACCACCAGAAACUUCAUAGAAACACACACACGCACACACACUCACACACACACACACACACACACACACAUACACAGACACAACAAAGCAGAAACGCAACAAAAACGUAAUCAAUCGAAUAAUGGAUGCACCUACUUAUUCCUUGAACCAAAAAUUAAACAUAAUAAAAAAAAAAAUUAUGGCAACUUUCAUUCCCUUUUAUAUGUUUCCAUUUUGGUACCUUUUUGUCCUUUUUCCAGCAGGUUUUUUCUCUCGCUUAAACAUUGGAACAGUUCAUUGCCAAACAGAAAUGACGGACUGAGUGUGGACAAUCAACAAAAUUUCUGUGUUUGGUGUUAAUGUCGUUCACGUGUGGAAAGAUACAGUACUUGUGUAGAGAAUGUAAAUUUUACAGCUAUAUUUUAAAACUAGUGGCUCAUGGCAAGCACUAUUGUAAUUUAGCACCGUUGUUCUUACUUAAAACUCUGUAUUUUAUUGAUUGUUUUCUUUUUUUUUAGUUUGAUUUUAAAUUUAUAGAUUGGAAAAACUGAUCAAUGUUUGUCAUUUAAGAAAAAGAAACUAUUUCAAGAUGUAAAAAUCCCGUUUUUCUGAAUGGAAUGAAAGAACAAAUAUAUGUCGAGACCCCAUGGUAGUGUAUGGUCAGAAUAGAUGAUGACUGUUGUACAUGUGGGGUUGCUACUACUGGAAGCUCCUUGACCGCCAAACCAUCCAUCUGUCCUAACAUUUAAGUCUGCACUGUUUUGUUGUAAGACUGCGGCCAUACUUUUCGUUACGACGUCGCCAUUGUGCAGGUGUGGAUACAUCCUCCUAAGCACUUGGAGACAGCACUUGCCCAAUUAAACGCACUGAAAAAUUAUUCUUUUUUUUAAAAAAAAAUUGUUUGUUGGUUACUUUUUUUUUCAUGACAUUGCCAGUAGCUACAUCUUUUAAAAUGAACAGCGAUGUUUGUAUUGGAAUUAGAAGUAUGGGCUGGUUUUGUGAAUAAAAACAAAUGCAUGUAUUUGUGUCAAGAAUUUACAGCUCUGACGUCUGUCUACUUGCAUGUUUUUUAAGAAACGACCACAAACGCUUAAAAAAAAACCAACCCACGAGUAUGGAAAUGUUCACAAAUCUUAUAGAUUGUUCGGUUUUCAAUAAGGUAAAAAUAAUAAUAAAAAUGCGAUUGGACAAGAACUGUCAUUUUGAAAUGCAGUCAAAGUCUGUGAUGUUAUUUUG
Long non-coding RNA from Ictalurus punctatus (channel catfish), 1550 nucleotides. The record is from Ensembl. NCBI's taxonomy places the organism in Eukaryota, Metazoa, Chordata, Actinopteri, Siluriformes, Ictaluridae.